This 215-nucleotide long non-coding RNA is filed under the name Mytilus galloprovincialis (Mediterranean mussel). The record is from RNAcentral. Lineage: Eukaryota; Metazoa; Mollusca; Bivalvia; Mytilida; Mytilidae.
GUGCCAAUAGUGAACCUUGUCCUUUGUUACCCAAUUUCUACAUAAAGAAAUAGUUUUUUAUAUGUCUUCUAUGUAAACUGUUUCUUUUUGUCCUGAACCUGCAUGGUCUUCGAAACUAGCACAGGACAGACAGGACAUGUCUUGUAAAAAUAUAUUCAGGUCUGUUGUAGAAAGAAAUGAAGAAUUAUUAAUUCCGUCCUGUAAAUGCCAAGCCC